This 195-nucleotide ribosomal RNA is filed under the name uncultured bacterium. RNAcentral's name for it is "partial 16S ribosomal RNA". It matches the Rfam family "Bacterial small subunit ribosomal RNA", at positions 335 to 527 of the family's 1533-position model. The record is from RNAcentral.
ACUCCUACGGGAGGCAGCAGUGAGGAAUAUUGGACAAUGGGCGCGAGCCUGAUCCAGCCAUGCCGCGUGCAGGAAGACAGCCUUAUGGGUUGUAAACUGCUUUUAUACGGGAAGAAACCUAUCUACGCGUAGAUAGUUGACGGUACCGUAAGAAUAAGCACCGGCUAACUCCGUGCCAGCAGCCGCGGUAAUACG